This 371-nucleotide ribosomal RNA is filed under the name uncultured organism. Its description in RNAcentral is "partial 16S ribosomal RNA". It matches the Rfam family "Bacterial small subunit ribosomal RNA", at positions 527 to 896 of the family's 1533-position model. The record is from RNAcentral.
GUAGGUGGCAAGCGUUGUCCGGAAUUAUUGGGCGUAAAGCGCGCGCAGGCGGUUCUUUGAGUCUGAUGUGAAAGCCCACGGCUCAACCGUGGAGGGUCAUUGGAAACUGGAGAACUUGAGUACAGAAGAGGAAAGCGGAAUUCCACGUGUAGCGGUGAAAUGCGUAGAGAUGUGGAGGAACACCAGUGGCGAAGGCGGCUUUCUGGUCUGUAACUGACGCUGAGGCGCGAAAGCGUGGGGGAGCAAACAGGAUUAGAUACCCUGGUAGUCCACGCCGUAAACGAUGAGUGCUAAGUGUUAGGGGGUUUCCGCCCCUUAGUGCUGCAGCUAACGCAUUAAGCACUCCGCCUGGGAGUACGGCCGCAAGGCUG